GUGAAGACUUGCAGAAAGACGUUCGUCAGUCAUCUUCUCCACAGAGCUUGAAAAUGUUCUCAAACCAACACAUUUGAUCAGCACAGAAUUCUUGUGGAUGCACCUCAGCAAGUCCUUUUGCAGUUGUAUCCAUUAAAGUGCUAUGCAGACAUAAUGGGAAUGACUCACAUUGUAGAGCUUGGACAAAUUCACACAGCUUCUCAAGAGGAAUUCAUUAAAGAGCAGGUC
Long non-coding RNA from Sinocyclocheilus rhinocerous, 228 nucleotides. RefSeq lists it as uncharacterized. The transcript has 3 exons. The record is from RefSeq and is a predicted model, not a curated record. NCBI's taxonomy places the organism in Eukaryota, Metazoa, Chordata, Actinopteri, Cypriniformes, Cyprinidae.